UGGGUAGGGGAGCGUUCUGUAAGCCUGUGAAGGUGUGCUGUGAGGCAUGCUGGAGGUAUCAGAAGUGCGAAUGCUGACAUAAGUAACGAUAAAGCGGGUGAAAAGCCCGCUCGCCGGAAGACCAAGGGUUCCUGUCCAACGUUAAUCGGGGCAGGGUGAGUCGACCCCUAAGGCGAGGCCGAAAGGCGUAGUCGAUGGGAAACAGGUUAAUAUUCCUGUACUUGGUGUUACUGCGAAGGGGGGACGGAGAAGGCUAUGUUGGCCGGGCGACGGUUGUCCCGGUUUAAGCGUGUAGGCUGGUUUUCCAGGCAAAUCCGGAAAAUCAAGGCUGAGGCGUGAUGACGAGGCACUACGGUGCUGAAGCAACAAAUGCCCUGCUUCCAGGAAAAGCCUCUAAGCAUCAGGUAACAUCAAAUCGUACCCCAAACCGACACAGGUGGUCAGGUAGAGAAUACCAAGGCGCUUGAGAGAACUCGGGUGAAGGAACUAGGCAAAAUGGUGCCGUAACUUCGGGAGAAGGCACGCUGAUAUGUAGGUGAAGCGACUUGCUCGUGGAGCUGAAAUCAGUCGAAGAUACCAGCUGGCUGCAACUGUUUAUUAAAAACACAGCACUGUGCAAACACGAAAGUGGACGUAUACGGUGUGACGCCUGCCCGGUGCCGGAAGGUUAAUUGAUGGGGUCAGCGCAAGCGAAGCUCUUGAUCGAAGCCCCGGUAAACGGCGGCCGUAACUAUAACGGUCCUAAGGUAGCGAAAUUCCUUGUCGGGUAAGUUCCGACCUGCACGAAUGGCGUAAUGAUGGCCAGGCUGUCUCCACCCGAGACUCAGUGAAAUUGAACUCGCUGUGAAGAUGCAGUGUACCCGCGGCAAGACGGAAAGACCCCGUGAACCUUUACUAUAGCUUGACACUGAACAUUGAGCCUUGAUGUGUAGGAUAGGUGGGAGGCUUUGAAGUGUGGACGCCAGUCUGCAUGGAGCCGACCUUGAAAUACCACCCUUUAAUGUUUGAUGUUCUAACGUUGACCCGUGAUCCGGGUUGCGGACAGUGUCUGGUGGGUAGUUUGACUGGGGCGGUCUCCUCCUAAAGAGUAACGGAGGAGCACGAAGGUUGGCUAAUCCUGGUCGGACAUCAGGAGGUUAGUGCAAUGGCAUAAGCCAGCUUGACUGCGAGCGUGACGGCGCGAGCAGGUGCGAAAGCAGGUCAUAGUGAUCCGGUGGUUCUGAAUGGAAGGGCCAUCGCUCAACGGAUAAAAGGUACUCCGGGGAUAACAGGCUGAUACCGCCCAAGAGUUCAUAUCGACGGCGGUGUUUGGCACCUCGAUGUCGGCUCAUCACAUCCUGGGGCUGAAGUAGGUCCCAAGGGUAUGGCUGUUCGCCAUUUAAAGUGGUACGCGAGCUGGGUUUAGAACGUCGUGAGACAGUUCGGUCCCUAUCUGCCGUGGGCGCUGGAGAACUGAGGGGGGCUGCUCCUAGUACGAGAGGACCGGAGUGGACGCAUCACUGGUGUUCGGGUUGUCAUGCCAAUGGCACUGCCCGGUAGCUAAAUGCGGAAGAGAUAAGUGCUGAAAGCAUCUAAGCACGAAACUUGCCCCGAGAUGAGUUCUCCCUGACUCCUUGAGAGUCCUGAAGGAACGUUGAAGACGACGACGUUGAUAGGCCGGGUGUGUAAGCGCAGCGAUGCGUUGAGCUAACCGGUACUAAUGAACCGUGAGGCUUAACCUU
This 1721-nucleotide ribosomal RNA is filed under the name Escherichia coli O104:H4 str. 11-02093. Its description in RNAcentral is "bacterial LSU rRNA". It matches the Rfam family "Bacterial large subunit ribosomal RNA", at positions 1225 to 2925 of the family's 2925-position model. Lineage: Bacteria; Pseudomonadati; Pseudomonadota; Gammaproteobacteria; Enterobacterales; Enterobacteriaceae. The record is from RNAcentral.